GUGGGGAAUUUUGGACAAUGGGCGCAAGCCUGAUCCAGCAAUGCCGCGUGCAGGAAGAAGGCCUUCGGGUUGUAAACUGCUUUUGUACGGAACGAAAAGGCUCUGGUUAAUACCUGGGGCUCAUGACGGUACCGUAAGAAUAAGCACCGGCUAACUACGUGCCAGCAGCCGCGGUAAUACGUAGGGUGCAAGCGUUAAUCGGAAUUACUGGGCGUAAAGCGUGCGCAGGCGGUUUUGUAAGACAGAGGUGAAAUCCCCGGGCUCAACCUGGGAAUUGGCUGUGUGACUGCAAGGCUGGAGUGCGGCAGAGGGGGAUGGAAUUCCGCGUGUAGCAGUGAAAUGCGUAGAUAUGCGGAGGAACACCGAUGGCGAAGGCAAUCCCCUGGGCCUGCACUGACGCUCAUGCACGAAAGCGUGGGGAGCAAACAGGAUUAGAAACCCUUGUAGUCC
RNAcentral lists this ribosomal RNA (450 nucleotides) under uncultured bacterium. Its description in RNAcentral is "partial 16S ribosomal RNA". It matches the Rfam family "Bacterial small subunit ribosomal RNA", at positions 354 to 796 of the family's 1533-position model. The record is from RNAcentral.